RNAcentral lists this ribosomal RNA (468 nucleotides) under uncultured bacterium. Its description in RNAcentral is "partial 16S ribosomal RNA". It matches the Rfam family "Bacterial small subunit ribosomal RNA", at positions 28 to 507 of the family's 1533-position model. The record is from RNAcentral.
GACGAACGCUGGCGGCGUGCUUAACACAUGCAAGUCGAACGGAAAGGCCCUGCUUUUGUGGGGUGCUCGAGUGGCGAACGGGUGAGUAACACGUGAGUAACCUGCCCUUGACUUUGGGAUAACUUCAGGAAACUGGGGCUAAUACCGGAUAGGAGCUCCUGCUGCAUGGUGGGGGUUGGAAAGUUUCGGCGGUUGGGGAUGGACUCGCGGCUUAUCAGCUUGUUGGUGGGGUAGUGGCUUACCAAGGCUUUGACGGGUAGCCGGCCUGAGAGGGUGAACGGCCAAAUUGGGAACUGGAUACCGCCCAGACUCCUACGGGAGGCAGCAGUGGGGAAUAUUGCACAAUGGGCGGAAGCCUGAUGCAGCAACGCCGCGUGCGGGAUGACGGCCUUCGGGUUGUAAACCGCUUUCGCCUGUGGCGAAGCGUGAGUGACGGUAAUGGGUAAAGAAGCACCGGCUAACUACGUG